RNAcentral lists this ribosomal RNA (544 nucleotides) under uncultured bacterium. Its description in RNAcentral is "bacterial SSU rRNA". It matches the Rfam family "Bacterial small subunit ribosomal RNA", at positions 46 to 635 of the family's 1533-position model. The record is from RNAcentral.
GCUUACACAUGCAAGUCGAGCGGGCGUAGCAAUACGUCAGCGGCAGACGGGUGAGUAACGCGUGGGAACGUACCUUUUGGUUCGGAACAACCCAGGGAAACUUGGGCUAAUACCGGAUAAGCCCUCACGGGGAAAGAUUUAUCGCCGAAAGAUCGGCCCGCGUCUGAUUAGCUAGUUGGUGAGGUAAUGGCCCACCAAGGCGACGAUCAGUAGCUGGUCUGAGAGGAUGAUCAGCCACAUUGGGACUGAGACACGGCCCAAACUCCUACGGGAGGCAGCAGUGGGGAAUAUUGGACAAUGGGCGCAAGCCUGAUCCAGCCAUGCCGCGUGAGUGAUGAAGGCCCUAGGGUUGUAAAGCUCUUUUGUGCGGGAAGAUAAUGACGGUACCGCAAGAAUAAGCCCCGGCUAACUUCGUGCCAGCAGCCGCGGUAAUACGAAGGGGGCUAGCGUUGCUCGGAAUCACUGGGCGUAAAGGGUGCGUANGCGGGUCUUUAAGUCAGGGGUGAAAUCCUGGAGCUCAACUCCAGAACUGCCUUUGAUACUG